AUGGCUGUCGUCAGCUCGUGUCGUGAGAUGUUCGGUUAAGUCCGCUAACGAGCGCAACCCCCGCUGUGUGUUAUAUGUGUCACACGGGACUGCCGGUCUUAAGCCGGAGGAAGGUGGGGGAUGAUGUCAAGGUCAGCAUGGCCUUUAUAUCCUGGGCUACACACACGCUACAAUGGCCAACACAAUAGGUUGCUAAGCCGCGAGGUGGCGCCAAUCCAUAAAGUUGGUCUCAGUUCAGAUUGUAGGCUGCAACCCGCCUGCAUGAAGAUGGAGUUGCUAGUAACCGCAGGUCAGCUAUACUGCGGUGAAUACGUUCCCGGGGCUU
Molecule: ribosomal RNA, 325 nt
Filed under: uncultured Leptolinea sp.
Lineage: Bacteria; Bacillati; Chloroflexota; Anaerolineae; Anaerolineales; Anaerolineaceae
Description: bacterial SSU rRNA
Rfam family: Bacterial small subunit ribosomal RNA
Source: RNAcentral